Bombus pascuorum is the source of this 2050-nucleotide long non-coding RNA. RefSeq lists it as uncharacterized. NCBI's taxonomy places the organism in Eukaryota, Metazoa, Arthropoda, Insecta, Hymenoptera, Apidae. The transcript has 3 exons. The record is from RefSeq and is a predicted model, not a curated record.
UUCGAUAUAACGUUGUAGGUAUUCAUGGAAAUUAAUCUUCCUUAUAACGUUAUACGAUUCUAAUCUCGAUCCAAUCCAUUUGAUAGCCGAGUCAUGCAAUCAUUCUACAAACGAUAGCGGUCGUUAAGAUUUGUUUAUCUCGUUUCUUCAGUACGAAAUAAUUGCAUCCGUGGAAAAACAGAUUGUCUCGCGAUCGGAUAAUAGUAAUUAAAGUUCGAGCGAUUCGUCGAGUAAUCGGCACGUCGCGCGGCGGCGAAGUAAAAAUCGUAUUGAUCUUUCUCUCCUUACGUAAUCGCGAUAAUUAUCGUCGUCGAACGCGAACAAUCACGUGUAAUGCGCAGUUACGUCGUGUCUUCUUUAAAAACGGUGAUCCGCUCGAUAAAAAUCUCGCGUCGUUGCAGAGCUACGCCUUCGUCGAGAAUCGAUCGAGGAAGAUCCGCGGAUACGUAUAUUUCAAUUACACGCAUCCUUGAUAUUUCCCUGCCAGCUCGUUUGAAACCAGACAAAUGGUAUAUUAUGGUAUUACAGUUGAAUGGAAUAAACGAGGAGAAGGAAACGUCGUUCGAAGUGGGAGGCGCCCGAUCACCAACCAAUAGAAAGAGCCGCCACCCACGAAGCUAUAAAAAUUAAUUUAUCACAUGGAUCGCCGCCUACGCCAUUGCUCCGUUCGUGGCCACCUAGUUUCGCAGCAUCCCCCCAGAUAGCGCUACUUGUCGGGUCUUCCCCGAGGGCACCACGAUACGGAGAUACCAGAUAGCUAAUUACCGUAUGAGAUACGGGGAUAGAGGACUAACUUACCAACCGUAGUAAUGUCAUCGAAGACGAACUUCCAUAUCGUUGCACAGAUUACUCGAUGCACAGACAGGUACGAGAAUAAACGUAACGUUCGAUGCUUUUUUGAGCCGCGCGUAUUGGAGGUCAGCUGACGCUUCCAUUUACCAUUUCUAGCGCUCGACGUUAUCGAUUUGAUAUUAGCGCAGACGACGUACGAAAUAGAUUUAUCACCCGAUGUACUUUUUUCAUCCACGGUUUGAGGGUCUCUAGAACUUCUUUAUCAUUUUAACGUCAUUUCCAAUGUUACCGAUUCAGCGCACGAUAAGAUUACGACGUUCGUAGUGAUUGAAAUUAAAACUAAAUUUUAACGCGAAAUUACAAGUAGAGUAGAGGGCAAAUCAUAAUUGUAAGCGAAGUAUACACACAGUGGCGGUCGAAAGUAACGAACUAUAAAAAUUUCAAUAUUAUCGCGUUCUGAAAAACUUGUUAAACAUGUAAUUAACGUGGAUUUAAUUAUAUAAACUACGGUAUCAGAGACGCCCAGUGAUACAUGUCCUUUUAUACUCUUGAUCUUUGCUGUAGGGGAGAGGCUAGCUUACGUGGUGACCCCUACUGAUAUCAGAGGUGACAACGUAAAGACUCGCAUUCGGGUAUUUCGGGUGUCGAAUACGGAGCAGCGAUAGAUACAAAAGUUCCGAAUAAUUAUAUCGGUAGAACAGCAAGACGUCGGUAGACGAACGUCAUAAAUGUCACGUUUCUUCCAUACCUCGUCGGUGAUCGUAUCACCGACGAGUCGUCUGUAAUAAUUCCUAUAUUCGCCGCAAGAAAUCGCAGAGGGCGUAAGAAACGCUCUGACUUUUUGGCAAGUCGGUAUUUCAUAACCUAAGAAACGAAGUUCCAUUUAAUGUCCAUUUAACAUUGUAUCUUGAUCUUAGUCAAUGGUCACACUGGAAACUCACUUCUGGCUGCAGUUAUCAUACUUCGAUAACAUUGCCAAGUAUCUUCGCUGUUAAAACAGCGAUCUUGUUAUCCUAAAGUUUAGCAACAAUCAUCGGUAAUUCUAGAGAUGUCGCACGGAAUUCAAGAUCAUAAUUUGACCUUGGAAAUCAGUCGUUCUCCUUCACCUACUUACCUAAUGUGGAAUUAAAUUUAUCGAAUGUGACAUGAAAGCGAAAUAGAUACUUCUUUAUCUUUGUCAGUACUUGUGUUCUUAAGAAAACUUUUUCGGAGAACUUCGAUUUCAUUGAAAUGUACAUAUACUAUUUUAACUUUUGUA